This is a non-coding RNA of Schizosaccharomyces pombe (fission yeast), 218 nucleotides long. The record is from the annotation of a GenBank genome assembly. NCBI's taxonomy places the organism in Eukaryota, Fungi, Ascomycota, Schizosaccharomycetes, Schizosaccharomycetales, Schizosaccharomycetaceae.
AUCAAUCUCUUCGGCAUUAAGAAUCAUUAAUAGUUUUGCAACCUUUCGUAUGAAAACAUUUUUCCUUGCAUUUCUAUGCUUCUUUUCGUAAUUUUCACUAAUUUCGGUUGCACGACUUAAAAUUGAAAACGGAAUUCCUGCCAUUCUAGCAACAUUUAACCCAUAACUUUUUGAAGCAACCCCAGGAACCAAUUUGUAAAGAAAUGAUAUAGACUGUG